CACACUGUGCCAUAUCUACAGAUGUUCGCACCUGUAGGUAUAGCCAGCUAACCCUUGUCUAUUUCUACCAUUUGUGAAUCCCUCGGCAGGGACGCCUGCCGCCGGGACCCCUAAACUCUUCUGUAUAAAAAGCAUUAAAAAUUUCUGAACCUAAUUAAAAUUAUUA
RNAcentral lists this unclassified non-coding RNA (166 nucleotides) under uncultured Dictyosporium. RNAcentral's name for it is "sequence contains ITS1". The record is from RNAcentral. Lineage: Eukaryota; Fungi; Ascomycota; Dothideomycetes; Pleosporales.